AACGAACGCUGGCGGCAUGCCUAACACAUGCAAGUCGAACGAGACCUUCGGGUCUAGUGGCGCACGGGUGCGUAACGCGUGGGAACCUGCCUUUAGGUUCGGAAUAACUCAGAGAAAUUUGAGCUAAUACCGGAUGAUGUCUUCGGACCAAAGAUUUAUCGCCUUUAGAUGGGCCCGCGUUGGAUUAGCUAGUUGGUGGGGUAAAGGCCUACCAAGGCGACGAUCCAUAGCUGGUCUGAGAGGAUGAUCAACCACACUGGGACUGAGACACGGCCCAGACUCCUACGGGAAGCAGCAGUGGGGAAUAUUGGACAAUGGGCGAAAGCCUGAUCCAGCAAUGCCGCGUGAGUGAUGAAGGCCUUAGGGUUGUAAAGCUCUUUUACCCGAGAUGAUAAUGACAGUAUCGGGAGAAUAAGCUCCGGCUAACUCCGUG
Molecule: ribosomal RNA, 433 nt
Filed under: uncultured bacterium
Lineage: Bacteria
Description: partial 16S ribosomal RNA
Rfam family: Bacterial small subunit ribosomal RNA
Source: RNAcentral